GUAGUCGUGGCCGAGUCGUUAAGGCGGCAGACUCGAAAUCUGUUGGGAUAUUCCCGCGCAGGUUCAAAUCCUGCCGACUACG
Molecule: transfer RNA, 82 nt
Filed under: Paramuricea clavata
Lineage: Eukaryota; Metazoa; Cnidaria; Anthozoa; Malacalcyonacea; Plexauridae
Rfam family: tRNA
About the family: Transfer RNA (tRNA) molecules are approximately 80 nucleotides in length. Their secondary structure includes four short double-helical elements and three loops (D, anti-codon, and T loops).
Source: Rfam by way of RNAcentral